UGGGGAAUAUUGCACAAUGGGCGCAAGCCUGAUGCAGCAACGCCGCGUGAGGGACGACGGCCUUCGGGUUGUAAACCUCUUUUAGUAGGGAAGAAGCGAAAGUGACGGUACCUGCAGAAAAAGCACCGGCUAACUACGUGCCAGCAGCCGCGGUAAUACGUAGGGUGCAAGCGUUGUCCGGAAUUAUUGGGCGUAAAGAGCUCGUAGGCGGUUUGUCGCGUCUGCUGUGAAAAACCCGAGGCUCAACCUCGGGCCUGCAGUGGGUACGGGCAGACUAGAGUGCGGUAGGGGAGAAUGGAAUUCCUGGUGUAGCGGUGGAAUGCGCAGAUAUCAGGAGGAACACCGAUGGCGAAGGCAGUUCUCUGGGCCGUAACUGACGCUGAGGAGCGAAAAGCGUGGGGAGCGAACAGGAUUAGAUACCCUGGUAGUCCACGCCGUAAAACGUUGGGCGCUAGAUGUGGGGACCAUUCCACGGUUUCCGUGUCGCAGCUAACGCAUUAAGCGCCCCGCCUGGGGAGUACGGCCGC
This 527-nucleotide ribosomal RNA is filed under the name uncultured bacterium. Its description in RNAcentral is "partial 16S ribosomal RNA". It matches the Rfam family "Bacterial small subunit ribosomal RNA", at positions 355 to 889 of the family's 1533-position model. The record is from RNAcentral.